Papio anubis (olive baboon) is the source of this 93-nucleotide small nucleolar RNA. NCBI's taxonomy places the organism in Eukaryota, Metazoa, Chordata, Mammalia, Primates, Cercopithecidae. The record is from Ensembl.
AUCCUUUUGUAGUUGAUGACUGGGUUUUCACGCUCAUAGAUGGAAGUGUGCCUCCCUCAAAACUGGUUACAUUGACACAUUACCCAUCUGACA